UCCUCGGUAGCUCAGUGGCAGAGCAUCCGGCUGUUAACCGGACGGUCGCUGGUUCGAAUCCAGCCCGGGGAG
Molecule: transfer RNA, 72 nt
Filed under: Longibacter salinarum
Lineage: Bacteria; Pseudomonadati; Rhodothermota; Rhodothermia; Rhodothermales; Salisaetaceae
Also listed under: 1 other name
Rfam family: tRNA
About the family: Transfer RNA (tRNA) molecules are approximately 80 nucleotides in length.
Source: Rfam by way of RNAcentral